CCUUCGGGAGGCAGCAGUGAGGAAUAUUGGUCAAUGGGCGCGAGCCUGAACCAGCCAAGCAGCGUGAAGGAUGACUGCCCUACGGGUUGUAAACUUCUUUUAUAAAGGAAUAAAGUGAGGCACGUGCGCCUAUUUGUAUGUACUUUACGAAUAAGGAGCGGCUAACUCCGUGCCAGCAGCCGCGGUAAUACGGAGGAUCCGAGCGUUAUCCGGAUUUAUUGGGGUUAAAGGGAGCGUAGAUGGGUUGUUAAGUCAGUUGUGAAAGUUUGCGGCUCAACCGUCAAAUUGCAAUUGAUACUGGCAGCCUUGAGUACAGUAGAGGCAGGCGGAAUUCGUGGUGUAGCGGUGAAAUGCUUAGAUAUCACGAAGAACUCCGAUGGCGAAGGCAGCCUGCUAGACUGCCACUGACAUUGAUGCUCGAAAGUGUGGGUAGCAAACAGGAUUAGAUACCCUGGUAGUC
This 460-nucleotide ribosomal RNA is filed under the name uncultured bacterium. RNAcentral's name for it is "partial 16S ribosomal RNA". It matches the Rfam family "Bacterial small subunit ribosomal RNA", at positions 338 to 795 of the family's 1533-position model. The record is from RNAcentral.